RNAcentral lists this ribosomal RNA (253 nucleotides) under uncultured bacterium. RNAcentral's name for it is "partial 16S ribosomal RNA". It matches the Rfam family "Bacterial small subunit ribosomal RNA", at positions 524 to 776 of the family's 1533-position model. The record is from RNAcentral.
UACAGAGGGUGCGAGCGUUAAUCGGAAUUACUGGGCGUAAAGGGUGCGUAGGUGGUCAAUUAAGUUAGAUGUGAAAUCCCUGGGCUUAACCUAGGAAUGGCAUUUAAUACUGAUUGGCUAGAGUUUGGGAGAGGGAAGUGGAAUUUCCGGUGUAGCGGUGAAAUGCGUAGAUAUCGGAAGGAACACCAGUGGCGAAGGCGACUUCCUGGCCCGAUACUGACACUGAGGCACGAAAGCGUGGGGAGCGAACAGG